Onychomys torridus (southern grasshopper mouse) is the source of this 104-nucleotide small nuclear RNA. Lineage: Eukaryota; Metazoa; Chordata; Mammalia; Rodentia; Cricetidae. The record is from RefSeq and is a predicted model, not a curated record.
AAAGAAUAAAGUGUUUGCUUCAACAAACUGGAAGGAUACAGAGAAGAUCAUCAUGACCCUUGUGCAAGGAUGACAUGCAAAUUUAUGAAGUGUUCCAUAUUUUU